RNAcentral lists this ribosomal RNA (465 nucleotides) under uncultured bacterium. RNAcentral's name for it is "partial 16S ribosomal RNA". It matches the Rfam family "Bacterial small subunit ribosomal RNA", at positions 28 to 507 of the family's 1533-position model. The record is from RNAcentral.
GACGAACGCUGGCGGCGUGCUUAACACAUGCAAGUCGUACGGUAAGGCCCUUUCGGGGGUACACGAGUGGCGAACGGGUGAGUAACACGUGAGUAACCUGCCCACAACUUUGGGAUAACGCUAGGAAACUGGUGCUAAUACUGGAUAUGUGCUCCUGCUGCAUGGUGGGGGUUGGAAAGCUCCGGCGGUUUUGGAUGGACUCGCGGCCUAUCAGCUUGUUGGUGGGGUAGUGGCCUACCAAGGCGGCGACGGGUAGCCGGCCUGAGAGGGUGACCGGCCACAUUGGGACUGAGAUACGGCCCAGACUCCUACGGGAGGCAGCAGUGGGGAAUAUUGCACAAUGGGCGCAAGCCUGAUGCAGCAACGCCGCGUGCGGGAUGACGGCCUUCGGGUUGUAAACCGCUUUCAGCAGGGACGAAGCUUUUUGUGACGGUACCUGCAGAAGAAGCACCGGCUAACUACGUG